AGUGAACGCUGGCGGUAGGCCUAACACAUGCAAGUCGAACGGCAGCACAGUAAGAGCUUGUUCUUACGGGUGGCGAGUGGCGGACGGGUGAGGAAUACAUCGGAAUCUACUUUUUCGUGGGGGAUAACGUAGGGAAACUUACGCUAAUACCGCAUACGACCUACGGGUGAAAGCAGGGGAUCUUCGGACCUUGCGUGAUUGAAUGAGCCGAUGUCGGAUUAGCUAGUUGGCGGGGUAAAGGCCCACCAAGGCGACGAUCCGUAUCUGGUCUGAGAGGAUGAAAGGCAACACGGGAAAUGAGACAGGGUCAAGACGACUAAGGGAGGGAGAAGGGGGGAAUGUGGGGAAAUGGGGGAAAGCAUGAACAAGCAAGGCCGCGUGGGUGAAGAAGGCCUUCGGAUUGUAAAGCCGUUUUAUGGGGAAAAAAAAGAUGUGGAAUAAAACCUGGAGGGCUUGAAGGUACCAAAUAAAAAAGCAACGGCUAACUACGUG
RNAcentral lists this ribosomal RNA (492 nucleotides) under uncultured bacterium. Its description in RNAcentral is "partial 16S ribosomal RNA". It matches the Rfam family "Bacterial small subunit ribosomal RNA", at positions 29 to 507 of the family's 1533-position model. The record is from RNAcentral.